GGAGAGGGUGAGCAGUAAGUGAACUUACCAGAGCACCAUCACUAACGCGGGGGCAUGGGGAGAGGAAGAAAGGGGAGACUGCGUUGAAUCAUCCUUACACAGAUCCGAGAGGAGCAGGUAAGACAAGAGCAAGAGUUAGAUGUACCAGAAGUGUAUGUUCAAACUUAGGGACAAGCAAGGCAUACCGUAUGGUAAUUAUCAUUGACUUGGAGCAUAGUGUGAGGUCGUUUUGAUAUCAUUACAUACAUACAUGUGUCAUUUAGAUGGACUUACUUAUACUUCUAUUAUUGACAUUUGAUAAUCGAGUUUGGUGUUGCAAGUGAGGUAAAUGAGAAUCAGUGCACACCAGUAUAUAUGUAUACAUGAGUUUCAAAUGGAAGGAAAAUUAGGCAGGUUGAGCUAUUACCUUGACACCAAAGAAUAUUUCAACCCAAUGCUUUAUUUCUGUCCUAGUUGAUCGUAAUUCGACAUUAGAUGUAUGUUGAUUUUUUUUCAAUAACCGAAUACUUUUGUCUGUAAAUACUGUAUAUUUGAUUCCAUAUAUAAAUCUCUUUUCUUCCCUA
This is a long non-coding RNA of Carica papaya (papaya), 563 nucleotides long. RefSeq lists it as uncharacterized. The record is from RefSeq and is a predicted model, not a curated record. Lineage: Eukaryota; Viridiplantae; Streptophyta; Magnoliopsida; Brassicales; Caricaceae.